CUCUGUCACUAUCGUAUAUCUUCGGAAACCAAGAUAACGACGUCACAGGGGCAGUAACAGCAGAAAACUCGCCUCGUGAUUCUUUUGUAACCCUGCCUAAUGAAGAGGAGGCAACUGAAGAUGUUCAUUCCCCCGUGUAAAAAACCUUUCUACUUUACUGUUUGCUCUCCUUUUCUCCAGUGUGGUGUGUGAUGUUUGCUCUUGUGGCAAAACCUUUCUACUUUACUGUUUGCUCUCUUUUCCUCCAGAGUGUGCUGUGUGAUGUUUGCUCUUGUCGCAGCGGAGUAUAAUAACAAUGUACUUAUAUACUUGCUUAAUAAGCUGCCAACUAACGACGAAAUUUGGAUUGCAGUUUUUGCGUGUAAAAGGGUGUUUGGCUAAGUUUAUUUGAAUAGCUUAUAAGAUU
RNAcentral lists this long non-coding RNA (406 nucleotides) under Salvia miltiorrhiza (redroot sage). RNAcentral's name for it is "long non-coding RNA (SMIL_LNC010639)". The record is from RNAcentral. Lineage: Eukaryota; Viridiplantae; Streptophyta; Magnoliopsida; Lamiales; Lamiaceae.